UAUGCUAAGUGUCAUUGCAGUGACUUGUGAGAGCGGCAUACUCAUUUGACUAAGAUUAGCUGUUACAACAAGGUCAUUUAUGCUUUAAUGCAAUUAGUUAUGCCAGUAUUGAUAGAGGAAAAAAAAAAUAGUCUCAUGUUGAGACAGGGAUGUUUCAUUGCCAGGGUUGUAUCUCCUUGAAUUCAAGCUUCCUCUAAAACCUGUUUGCAGAGAUGGGGCACCACCACCAUCACCUCUCUGGGCACCCUGUGCCAGUGCCUCACCACCCUUAGCAUAAACAGCAUCUUCCUUACAUCCAGCCUGAACCUCCCCUCCCCAGCACCUCACGUUAGCAGGCAGAAAACCCACCAAACAUACAUAAACCUUCUCAAACAAUGCAAAGUAGGAGAAAGAAAAAAUGAGACUCUUAAGAGCAUUCAAACAGCUUGUGAAAUUUGCAGGAAAGGUAUUGUAGGAGCCCACAUCGCACUCAAAUAGUCUAACAAUAAGUUUCCCAAUAAACAGCUGUUUCAAGAAACCCAGCUCCAAACCCACCCUCUUUUCUCCACAAUGCAUGUCAAAUCUGCAUCAAAACGCUCACCACCUGUUUCCAGUUUGCAGGCAACCAAUCAUUGUUCAUCAAAGUAACAAAGCUGUUUUAAAUUUGAAAGCAACAAAUCCAAGUUUAAUUAUUUUGUCCUUCAGAGCUUUCCGCUAUCUUUUACGAAAGCUGUUUCAGAGAUGAAGAACUAUCAUUGGCUGCCUUAAAAGGGGAAUAAUUGAUUGACAGCCGGAAAAACACUUCUAAGGACAAUAGUAUUUGUCAGUCUGGUAUUUUUCACACUAAAGACAAAUUGCAUUUUAUCAACACCCUGAAAUUAUUUUGUCAACAAAAUUCAUUUUGUGGCAUUCCCUUCAUCUGUCACACUGACAGAACGCUCUCCAGAGUGUUCUAAAAAAACAUUUUGCUAACAUGAUUAAUUUAUCCAACAUUUAAUUUUGCUUUUUAAUCAUACGUACAGAAAGAUGUUGCAGGACGUGCACAGGAAGGUGUGAAGAGCAACGCCAUUAGCUCACGCAGCCAGGAGGAGGCCAGGCAUACAAACCUUCACCAGCAGAAUGCUACUGGUUGAAGAGUUGCAAUGUUUGAUCGGUUCUGUGUAGACAAAAGCCCUGCUUGAGCAAAUCGUGUUUUCACAAAUCAUUUGACCUUACUGAAAAUGUUUCAAAGAGCUUUAUGUCAAGUAUCCCACAGCAAUUAGAGAACUGUGUGUGUGCGUGCACAAAAUGAAGAGCCAUCACCUUAACACAAGCAGAACGUUCGGGAUGGUUCUGUCAGCUCAUGGCAUGGAUGGUAUGGGAAGAUGGACAAGUGCCCCACACAACAAUACAUUGACUUCCAACAUGUCAAUGCCAAUAGCAAACAGGUGCUCUGCUUCUAUGCCAUGUAUGAUAUUUUUAGGAAUUUUCCUAACAGAUUUAUGCCAAAUGCACAGCAGUGACUCAAACACCAAGAUUCCUGAGAGUUCCCCUCAGAAUCUCUUGACUUGAAUGUAAAUCUCUAGCAGGAAUGUAAGUACUCUUCCACUUGAAUGUAAAUCUCUAGCAGGAAUGUAAUUGGACAGUUUUCCUUGUGCCCAUUUUGUUUUUUGAUGAAACGAUGCACUGGGAGGUCAAGUAACUUUUCUAAGGUCAUGCAUUAAAUCAGCACCAGGUGAAGGAGCAACAACUACGCUUCCUGCUUCCCAGUGUAUCCACCGGGCAAUAAUACCAGUGAAUGGUACAAUGCAUUGUCAGAAUUACACGUGCGUGUGCCUCGAUUAAUAAUAAAUAAGCUCAGAUGCUCUCAAACAAGAUUAUAUCUGCACUUGUAGGGAUGGAAAGUAUCACCCCUUUUCACAGAGCUCACAGGUUGCAUUUUGGAACAUUGAGAACAUUAAAGGAAAAAGCAUUGCUGACGCUUUAGAAGUGAAUUCACAGGCAACUGAAAUACUUUUCCCAAGAGCUGCAGAUUGCAGGACACUUUCUGAGGUUGACUGACAAGAAGAGGAAAGGCUCAAACAAAAGCAUGGGUCUCUCCAUCCUUCUGGUCCCCUGUUGAGGAGCACAAACACACAGAUGCUCACACGGAUUCAAAAUAAGUGUUGGUUGGACAGACAAAGUCAUGCUGUAUGCUCAGAAAUGCUGAUAAUUGUUGUCCCAGGAAACAAAACAUUCCAUCACAGCUCCUGAAGCUUGUUUCUACACCUCUUACCAGUUUCUAUCAUAUUACUUCUGCAGCGCACUUUCUGAUUUCCUGGGAGAUGGUUUGUGCUGAAGCAAGGAAAAGCUCCAGUAUGGAAAAGGCAGACCAUUGCACAGGUUUCACCAUGAACACAAAUUCUUCCCAGAUGCAGCAGUGUCUGUGCAGUGCCUUCUUUAUGACUUGCCUUCACAGCUAACAGCCCUGCUGCAAUACCUGAAAUCUGACCUAGCAGAGGAUGCAGCUGGUUGGUUGUCCCUUACCUCAGUGCUGCCUGCUGAGUGCCCUCAGAGCCCAGAUCCUCAAUGGCCAUUCACUGUCAUGGAAUUAAAAUCUGAUACAUCCCUUCCCUGACUUGUCUCUGCUGGGGUUUUGUAACUGACUCUCAUCCCUCUCCCACUGUGCAGUCUUCUUCUCACCUCCAGAAGGUGCUGCAGUUAUUAUAGUCGCAGUCACAUUACUUUAAUAGACUUAAUCCUUCUGGGCCUCUUUUUGACACUGAAUUAUUAAUUCAUUAAUCUGUUUUUCAUAUUUCUAAACAGAAACAGACAUUACUGGUGUGAAUGAUCAAUACUGUGUUCUCUCAUUCCUUUCCUUUUCCAUCAUUUUAGAAUCUACUCUGCUUUCAAUCUUGGGUCUUUUUAAUAGGAUUUGCUUUUGUGAAGAAUUUGACACCUCAUUAAGGCAACUCUAUGCUAACAGAUUUAAUAAUUCCUAUCUGCAUUGGUCACUUAUAACUGACGUUACACAUUCAAGUCACUCUUGGAUCUGCCUGAAAGAUAUUCCUGGAGGAAGAAGACUUGCCUUUGGGAUCUGUGCUCCUAUUGCCACUGACAACAGAUCCAGACUGAAUCAGGGCUAAGACUAUGUGACUCACCUUCUGCUGCCAGGGGCUUUGUCCCCUUUCCUUUAGGAGACAGGUGAUGAACCUUACACAUUGACACUAGCUGCAGCCAGCACAGCAGCCCAGCUCAGCCAGCACAGCCCAAAGCAGAAGUGGUCAUAAUGUACAGAGCAGCAUCUUAGCCUAAAUCUCUACAAAAGGCUCAUUGCAGAGCUAUCAAGCCUGAGACACCCUUGGCCAGACACAACCCAGAUCUCUUCCAGUUCAGCAAUCAUGUAUCUGCAGGUUACCCUCAGGGACCCAUGUACGUUGGAAGAAGGACCUGUUUUCAGCGGUACCAACCAGAUGACUCCAGCACGUGGAUUCUGGAAGCAAGAGUUGCAUUGCAGAGGCAAGCAGAAACACAGCGCUGGUGGAGACCCCAGUCAUCUUACUAGAUGACAUCCUCACCACCAAAUAGCCAAAAUACUGUCAGCCCUCCACCACAUGACACAGUCUGGCCUAUUCGGUCCUAUUUCCUGUCCACUACAGUCUCUCUGCUGUAAUCCAACGUCAAAUUCUCCUCAGCACUGACUCUUCCCAGGCUGCAUCUCCCAUCACUGGACUGGCACAAUAGGAGUGAUCAAGUGAGCUGACAGGUGUGCAAAAUGGCACGGCUUCAUACAGAGAGGAUCUAGCUGAAGCACCUGUGAGCAGAGUUGCCAUCUGGUUGUAAUGUUCCAGAAUGAAAUAGACAAACCAAAGAUAAUUAUUUACAGUCAAUGUUUCUAUUGUACACAAUGAUUGGAAUACUUUACAGACUUAGAAUGUGAUGGCACAAAGGAAAUCUUAAUGAGGAAUUACGAAGCAAUUGAGAUUGGGGGAAAAUGUUAACUGAAGACUACAAAAAUAAUAGGAAAUGCCAAAUGCCCACACGUGCUUGCAUAUAUGGGUAUACUCCAGGAUGCAGAGAGUAUAAGGGAAGGCUGUAGUUGUCCCGCAAGAAGUAGUGCCAGAAAGAGCCCUGAAGUGCCUGGCAAAGCUAAGGAUGUUGCUGUCUGCCACCAGAAUGGAUAUAGGACAGCGGUGUCUACCUAGAGUAACCUUCAUAAGGGAAGCAUCUUUCCCUGCCAGGCAGCCUAACUCUUGCACUGUUCCCUACCACAAUAAACAUCAGUAUGACUUCUUGCAAUUGUACAAAGCUCCGUUUUACCUCUGAACUCUGUGACUUUUCUUGAAACCAACUGUGCUUUCUGUUAGCAUAAUACACCUUGGAUCAGGCCUUCUACUAAUCAUUAUUACAGAAGAUGUCAUUCUCUCUUCCUGAAAUGAAUGAACACAUCAGUAGUUGGCCCUCAAACCCUCCUUAGCUGAAAUACAAAUGCUCUAUACUAGAUUUCAAACCAGGUUGAACAAAGCCUGCCAUUUCCCUUCGCUGUUGCUAUAGUAAAAGCUUAAUGGUCAAGGCUGCUCCCUACGUGCAGGAAUUUGCUCUCUGUAAAGGGUUAUAAGCCAGCCCAGCUUCAGCCCAGCCAACAAGAAAGCAGCAGAGACAGACAGCUCUCUCCUGUAUCCCACACUCUGUUCUUAGGGGAAUGCAAGGUAACCUCAGAGGUCUUUCACAGCUCUUACUCUGGUGGCUCCAGAAAGGGAAUGUUGCAAAGAAACUACUCCAUCCAUAAGCAAAAUGGUGAAACAUCAUUAUGAUAUUUUUUUUACCCACACCCUGCCUGUGUUCUCAGGAGGUAUAAGACACGACAAACUGCUCCAUCACCUUUUCAGUGUAACAAGCCCUCUCCUGUACCAUGCAGUGAACCAGGGUGCUGCACCUCAGAGUGGCUUGUGCAUGUGAGGCAGAGGAAGGGAAGGAAGCAGCAGCCACCUCCCUGGCACACCUCCCUGUGACACCAGCAGAGCAACCUAACCCAGGCUGUCUGCUCCUUUCCUCCUCCUGGCCUCUGAUCUAUGGUGUACCGUGCAGCAGAACCUGUCACCCACAAGGCAAGCAAAAGGGCAGAGUUGCAUCACCCAGGAAAAGUGCUUUCAACUGAUACACACACCUCUGGCACCGGCUCCCUUGUCAUCCAACCCCAGCAAGUAUUUAUUAAUGAAGCUUGCCUGAUUGUUGAUUCAUUUGAUUGUUAAAGCUUGUGGAACUCGUACUGUUAUUACUCAUUGUUAUUAAUGUUCACAGCUCAGCCUCUCUCUUUCCAAUACGCUCCACAGAGGAAAUCGAAGGCUGAAACCAAUUGUUACAGUAAAUGAAUGAUGGAGCCGCUUGAGGAUAGGAGCAUGCCUGCUGCUCUGGGACCGCUGCAUGUUAGUGGGAGUCAGUUAAUCUUCACACACAAGGACUGCAAACUGAGAGGCUAUUUCAGGUCAGUUCUCUGUUCUGUACGCUGCUUCCUGAGUCAACUGGUGUAUGACAGUCACCCUAACAAAGCAGUCUCUGCACAGGACCAGUGACCCAGGGCAGGCUUUGAUCUAUGUGCAGAAACAAGGUUUCCUUUGCACUCCUCCACAAGUACAGAAGACAACACCAGAACAAUGCAGUAGAGAGCAGAAGGGAGCUCAGCAGUGCAAUAUAUGCGUGUGCACGCUGCUUGCUUCAGUACUUCCCCUCUCCUCCCCUCCUGCAAGCCUUCUCCACCUCUCCACAGCCUCUUGGUCUGUGAUCAGUUCCAAUUGUUACACCACGUGUAAACUCCCCAAGACAGAACAGCAGCACUCCUACCUGUCUGGUAGUCAGGAUGCUUCCAAAUCUGCAACAGGGCCCUUAUGGCAGCGUUUCAGAACAAUGUACUCAUUCGCGUUAUACCUCCAGCAUCUACAGAGCCGUCACAUACCAUAUUCAGUCUAUUAUUCAUCUCAAGUAGAGAAUUCUGCAAAGCAGGAGGAAAUAAAAGAGGGCUUAAUACAGCUUUACUAAAAUGGAAUUUGCCAAGGACUCAUAGAAAAAUGGAUUUAAUUAGGGCUGCUAAUGGGGAACAGUUUGUUCCUGUGAUUUAAGGCAGAAGUUAGAUAGUGUCUAUAAUUUCAACAUUUUAAAUUAUAUAUACCAGGUCAUUUCUCAUUUCUACCUUAAUUAUAAAAAUCCAUCUUUAUGUAUCACAAUUUCAAGGCAAAUAAAGCAAAGGCAGCAAAAAUGAUAUUUUAUUUAAUAAAACUUGUAAGAACUC
This 6223-nucleotide long non-coding RNA is filed under the name Gallus gallus (chicken). RNAcentral's name for it is "lncRNA (ENSGALG00010022722.1)". Lineage: Eukaryota; Metazoa; Chordata; Aves; Galliformes; Phasianidae. The record is from RNAcentral.